This 1818-nucleotide long non-coding RNA is filed under the name Stylophora pistillata. Its description in RNAcentral is "uncharacterized LOC111327762". The record is from RNAcentral. Lineage: Eukaryota; Metazoa; Cnidaria; Anthozoa; Scleractinia; Pocilloporidae.
AAGAUACAAGGAGCGCUUAUCACAGAAAAACUGAGAUCCGUUGAUGUGAAUACUUCUCAGUUGAGGAGUGAUAUUGCGACAUUGGUAGAGAGGAGAGAGAAAUUUAACAACAACAUAGAUCAAGUGACGAAAGAGGUCCGUAAGGUAGUUCACAGCUAUCUAAACAUGAUUCGCCGGCAUGAAACAAGCGUGACGGAAAAUUUGGCGAGGAAGAAAUCGCUAUAGAAUGAUGUUGUUUCCCAGGAGUUGUCGAAACUCACCGAUAAACUAGAAAAAAUGGCUGGUGUUGCGAUCCGUGGUAGAGCCGCGAUCCUUGAAAACAAUAACAUAGAGGAAAUGAUAAGCGUCAAACAAGUUCUCGAUGAAUUGAUUUCAGAGAAAGUUUCAACAUUGCCUAGAUAUCCAGACUUAAAAUACAUCCCAAAUGCCAUCCCUCGAAAUUUUACCACAGGAAUGCUGUAUAUAAGUCACACAGAACCUUCUUUGAUGGUCAGAUAACUUACAGUGAAAUUGACAAGGUUACUGUGGAGGUUACAUCUGUACGGAAGGGAAUCAAAGACAAUCCAGUUGUUAUAAAGGACUUGAAAGACGGCCGCUAUUCUGUAUCCUACACACCGAAUGCCUCUGGCGUAUUCGGGGUCUCACUCAAAGUACGAGCUGAACUUAUCCGAGAGAGCCCCUUUGAACUGUUCAUUCACAAAAGUCUGAAGUCUGACGUCUUUAAAGGAGCUAAAUGUCAAGGUCCUGGAAUGAUUACUACAGCACCUACCACUAUGGUAGAGAUGACCGACCACUCGGAGUCGGUCAAAUGACGACUGGGACGUUUGAGCGUCGAAGAGUUGGCGAGAACUGUGGUGAUAUCGAACAUACCGAGACAAAUUACGAAAGAUGAAAUUACCAUACAUUUCCAGAAAAGGAAAAACGGCGGGGGAGAAGUCUAUGAUAUUUGGAUGACAAAGGAUGGGCAUGCAGUCAUAGUCUUUGAAGGACCUGGAGCUGCUGACAGGAUAUUAGAGCGCACUCAUGUACUUGGGGGUAAAGUGGUGGAUGUUAGACCAAGCCACGCCCAAAAGCAAGUCAAAGAAGACUAUCAGGAGAUAGUUGAAGCGUGCACCUUUGAAGCUGAACCAAGUUCAUGAAAUUAUUUAGAAGGGUACACAAGGAAAAACUUAAACAAAUACAGAGGGAGUACCACUUAAUGAUAUUUUUGCCUCAAAAUAAGGCUCGAGCAGAGAUCAAACCUACACCUUUAACCGAAGAAACAAACUAUCAAGAAGGAUGCGAUGCUUUUAUUGCUUUGUACCAAACCAGCCAUCAAACCGUGACGCGACAGAUGAUUGAUGUAAGAGACAUCCACGAUGAUGGGAAAAUCAAGGAGGCGAUUACAUUCGUGGAAAGCAAACAUCCCGUCUUCAUUGAGAAAGUAGAAGGUCAGUUAAGCGUUUACGGCGAGGAAAUUCAUCUUGAACGCUCGGCAGGCUCUGAUAAAACGUUUGGCAACCUUAGGAAAGGUCAAAAGAACAUAAAUGUCAUUCGCAUCACCAUCAUGAACCGCAAUUAACUAAGAUCCUUCUACAGAUGUUGACAAAUAACGUACUGGUAUCCUUAUACCAGUGACUGAGACAUAACUGAUGAGAAAGUCCAUACCAUUGUCAACCCAGCUCACCCCUGGCUUGAACGUUCACAAGACGGUGUAAUUGGUACAAAUUUUAUAAAAGGGCGGAGUCAAAUAAUACAUGAUUCUCUAUAUGUUAUGUCUCGUCGUGAAGUCCCUCUACAACCUGGUGAAACUGUUUACACCUGAAUAUAAGCCGGCAG